CACGUAGGGCGCAAGCGUUGUCCGGAAUUAUUGGGCGUAAAGAGCUCGUAGGCGGCUUGUUGCGUCGACUGUGAAAACCCGUGGCUCAACCAUGUGGUCUGCAGUCGAUACGGGCAGGCUAGAAUUCGGUAGGGGAGACUGGAAUUCCUGGUGUAGCGGUGAAAUGCGCAGAUAUCAGGAGGAACACCGGUGGCGAAGGCGGGUCUCUGGGCCGAUAUUGACGCUGAGGAGCGAAAGCGUGGGGAGCGAACAGG
This 254-nucleotide ribosomal RNA is filed under the name uncultured bacterium. Its description in RNAcentral is "partial 16S ribosomal RNA". It matches the Rfam family "Bacterial small subunit ribosomal RNA", at positions 524 to 776 of the family's 1533-position model. The record is from RNAcentral.